AUCUCUACCUGAGAUCAGUGAUUUCACAGCAAAGCAGAUUACAAUUGUCUAUUAGACAAAAGCCACCAUUUUAUUCUUUAUGAAAUUAUGGAGUUUGAAUGAUUUCGUGUAGUUCAUCAACUGUCUACAUAGCAUGCAGAGCAACGCACGAAAUCCUAAGCCCCAGAUGAUUCACUGAUCGAUUUUAACGUCCACAAAAGAAGUAAGUUACCCCUGGAAGAAGAGUAGGACUAAAGAAAAACAUGGUUUUGGUUUGAUAGCCUGGAAAUGAGCACUCUAAAUGGCAAAUCUUUUUUUUUUUUUUGUCUUUUUGCCAUUUCUUGGGCCGCUCCCGCGGCAUAUGGAGGUUCGCAGGCUAGGGCUAUCUACCAUCUUUUAAUGCCCCGACAGAACACUUUGGCUUCGUAAGGCAAUCUGCAUUUGCCUGAAUUUAAAGUCAUGUUAUUCCCCAACCUGAGUCUAAUGGAAGAGGAGACAGUGCAAUUCUUCCAGCUUCAAACAGGGGCAAAAGCUUGCUAAACCAAGCCUGAUCUGCAGCCACUCAUCCAUACUAAGGAACUAGAAAGAAGAGACUUUGCUUCCUAUAGCAUCCUGAAAAGGUUCUUUUACGUCUAAAAAUCACACUUAUUGUAAGAAUGAACAAAUAAUGAAUGAAAAAAAAAAAUUCCAGUAUCAUGGCCCACACUGAAUUUACCCCUGAAGACAGGAUUUGGGGGUAGCUCGGUUGUAUCAAAUUGACAGAUAAUCUGAAAACCUUAUGUCUGCCAUGGCUCCCAGCCUCCUUCCCACCAAGCUUUUUACCAGACUUGACCCCUGUUCCUGGCCCUGCCCCCCAUCUGGUGGAGGCGCUAAUGAGCAGUGAAAUGGCCAAAGGGCAGGCAGCAGGGGGGAGCAGGGAAAACAAAGGCAAAAAGGGGACAGGAGACGGGAUCCUCUACAAACUCGACAAUCAGUCUCUGGAUAAUAGAGCUGUCUGCAGCCAUAAACAGAGCUGGUUGUAGGCUUUUGUGUUUUCCAACUCCAAAUGCUUGACAGCCAUUAGUUCUGCAAAGCAUGUUCCUAUCAAGCCUUUAAAUGGGAGAAGAAGCCUAGGUACAUAAAGCGACAUGCCCAAAGUACCCAGCUCAUCGAGACCGUCUUCAUCUCAGUCCAGAGAAGAAAUGGGAGGCUUGAUUAAAUCCCGCUGGAUUGAAAUUUUGCCAAAAAGAGUGAACUAUUUAUGUCCAAUAUAGAAGAGUUUAGAAUCAAGAAUUCCUUGGUUUAAAAAAAAAAUCUUAAAAUAAAAACAGAUUCCUCUCUUAAAAACAAAACAAACGUGUUUCUUGAAAUGUGGAGGAACAGUCUGACCUAUCCUACCUAGUUAAAACAGAAUACAUGGCAUAUUAGUUUUAUUUAUAUAUGAUGUGAGGGUUUCCGGCAUUUUAGAAAUAUUUACUGCCAUCCAUAAAUACCC
Molecule: long non-coding RNA, 1453 nt
Filed under: Sus scrofa (pig)
Lineage: Eukaryota; Metazoa; Chordata; Mammalia; Artiodactyla; Suidae
Description: lncRNA (ENSSSCG00005016344.1)
Source: RNAcentral